AGUGAACGCUGGCGGUAGGCCUAACACAUGCAAGUCGAGCGGCAGCACAGUAAGAGCUUGCUCUUACGGGUGGCGAGUGGCGGACGGGUGAGGAAUACAUCGGAAUCUACUUUUUCGUGGGGGAUAACGUAGGGAAACUUACGCUAAUACCGCAUACGACCUACGGGUGAAAGCAGGGGAUCUUCGGACCUUGCGCGAUUGAAUGAGCCGAUGUCGGAUUAGCUAGUUGGCGGGGUAAAGGCCCACCAAGGCGACGAUCCGUAGCUGGUCUGAGAGGAUGAUCAGCCACACUGGAACUGAGACACGGCCCAGACUCCUACGGGGGGCAGCAGCGGGGAAUAUUGGACGAUGGGCGCAUGCCUGAUCCAGCCAUACCGCGUGAGUGAAGAAGGCCUUCUGGUUGUAAAGCCCUUUUGUUGGGAAAGAAAAGCAGCAGGUUAAUACCCCGCUGUUCUGACGGUACCCAAAGAAUAAGCACCGGCUAACUUCGUG
This 492-nucleotide ribosomal RNA is filed under the name uncultured bacterium. RNAcentral describes it as "partial 16S ribosomal RNA". It matches the Rfam family "Bacterial small subunit ribosomal RNA", at positions 29 to 507 of the family's 1533-position model. The record is from RNAcentral.